CCAAACCUCUUCCACUAUCUUAUAUAUAGACUAAAGCCCCGUAAUUCUCUUGCUUUUUAACAGUGUUACCAGAUCAAACAAUCCAAAGCAGGCAGUAAUCACAGGCAGGCGAACUUAUGACUUGGACCACACUCGCGAUUGCCAUCCACUCACAGAAUUGGUAACAGUGUCUGCCCGCUGUGCAUUUCCCCCUUAAGCUGAUGUCCUCUUGAGAACUGAGAAUGUCACUCAGUUCUUACCUCCAUAGAGUUUGGAUUCCACUCAUAACAGCUGAUGAUGAGACCUGUGACCUCUAAGUUUGACCUGGACCAAUGAAUACCACCCCACAUCAAUUUAAGUCCUUGUCUUCAGUGAUACUAAUUAUUACAAGAUGGCCAAAGAUGGCAAACAGAAAUACGUUUUGUAAUGAAUAUACCUGUACUACCUAUUACGUUUUGAUACAUACUUAUGUACAGUCAAAAUCUAAUUCACUUGUAAUUACAUUAUAUUGUUAAUGCAUCAUAUAUAUUUGUAUCAAUAUGUCUUUAAGCCCUGCCCACACUAGCGGGCACUGCCCAACGGGCAAACAGUGUUCCCGUAACCCGUUCCACUAUACUGACCGACAUAGUAUGGAGCCAGAAGGAUGCAAUUGUCUGGUAACACUGCUUCAGAAGCGAGAGAAAACCUAAACAGCUGGAAGUACCGGACGGGCAUGCCCGCUAGUGUGGACAGGCCAUAACUUCAAGCCAUUCUUGGAAUUUAGCCAGCAUUAUUUAAAAAAUUAGGUCAAGAUGAUACGAUCUCUCGUCUUAGCUCCUACCUAUACGAGAAAACAAUUAUAUCGGUUCAAUGCAUAGAAUUAAUUAACAUUACUCAUCUGCCUCUAACAUAUUUUUGAAUUUUUUUUUCAUCUUAAAGUAAAGACAUUGUUGUUCUCGAGUAACUUGAACUCGAGUCAUUUUGAUAUCUCAUUCUUUUAUCAUUCUUGUUAUUUCAUUCUCAUGAAUAUAUUAGCAUAUAUUGCAAUGACAUGAAAAUAACACCAAGAUGUGUAUCCUGUUAUGAAGAUUAACUUUAAAAAGAUGAUCAUGAAAUUUGUUGUUACUUCUGAGGUUUCUGUAAUAAAAAACUAUUGAGA
Macrobrachium nipponense is the source of this 1117-nucleotide long non-coding RNA. RefSeq lists it as uncharacterized. The record is from RefSeq and is a predicted model, not a curated record. The transcript has 2 exons. NCBI's taxonomy places the organism in Eukaryota, Metazoa, Arthropoda, Malacostraca, Decapoda, Palaemonidae.